UGUCCCGGCAGCUCAGCCGUCCCUCGUGGGCGGUGCACUCUGCCGGGUGCAGGCCAGCAUCAGCUCGUGGCGGGGGAGAAAGGCGGCGGGAACGUGGCUCUUCGGAGUGUUAUAGCCCGCCGCUACGCCCCACCGCGGGCUGAGGUUCGCGCUCCGCAAGGAUGCUGGCGUAAUGGCCAUCAGCGACCCGUCUUGAAACACGGACCAAGGAGCGGUCCUAACAUGCGAGUGUUCGGGUGCAAAACCCCUACGCGGAAUGAAAGUGAACGAAGGUGAGAGCUUCGGCGCAUCAUCGACC
RNAcentral lists this ribosomal RNA (298 nucleotides) under uncultured cf. Sigmoidea sp. Its description in RNAcentral is "partial 28S ribosomal RNA". It matches the Rfam family "Eukaryotic large subunit ribosomal RNA", at positions 464 to 766 of the family's 3401-position model. Lineage: Eukaryota; Fungi; Ascomycota; Sordariomycetes; Microascales; Halosphaeriaceae. The record is from RNAcentral.